GUGCCAUCUCUAACUGGAUGACGGCACACAUCAUUUCCCUUUAAUGUUGUAUGUUGUACAGCUGAAAAUGACGUGGUGGUAAAAUAUUUGCUUAUUUUCUCUCAUUUUUGAUUAGUUCAACUUUUUUUUUUUUUUUUUUUUUUUUUUUUGUGUGUGUGUGUGUGUUUGUGUGUGUGUGUGCACUCCAGUCAGUUGCACUAGUAGUUCUGUACUGUAAUCCUGAUUGAUACUACGUGUUGACUAGAAUAGAAGUUCUGAGAAAGUAUACAACAAAUAUAAGCAAGUUAUAUAUGCUCUUGAGACAGUCUAUGCUGUUCGAUUUUGGCUGAGAAUCUGGCCGUGAGCCACUGUACAGCUUUUGAGUUAUAUUACAAUUCUAUUUUAGACCCCUAGGAAAUAUACGGCAUAUUAUGUGUAUUAUCCAUUUGCAAGGUUACUAUUUUCCUUGAGCUGGCUGUUUGUGUCUGAUGUGAAGAUUUUUAAUCUUACAACAUCAGUGAAGAUGUGAGAAUUAUGUUCCCACUUUUCUAUUGUAUACUUUAGAAGUUACCAUCUGGAAGAGAAAGAAGCUGAAGUUCACGGACAAGUCCUUUACCAGACGUGAUGAGGGAGGGGGUGAGAAAAGUGGCUUGAAGUUAGUGUUCUGCUUCCAAAGCUGAAAGCCAAACCUACUCCUGUCAUGUCUUAGAACAGCCUGGGGGAUGCACUAAACAAUUCUGGCUUUGUGCCUGCUAAUGAUUCAUGUAAGCAUUCUUAUCACAAAGGGACUUCAGCAGAAGCCAAAGAUCAGACCUUAUUUGUGUAUCUGUGUGAGUGAUAGCAGAAGGGAACGAAGCAAUUCUUCAUCUUCUUUUUCUAUAGAGUGAAUAUAUCCUGCACCUGGAGAAGAAAUAGAUAAGAAACUGGGAAAGAACUAAGGAAGAAGAGACAGAACUACAAACCCAGAGAGUUCAAGGAUGGAUCCCACCCUGAGGGAUGAAUCUCCUUCCAGGUUGUGUUUAUAACUUUGGAAUUGGUAAGAAAAGUAGACUUCAGGAACACUUAGCUGGAAUCAGGGACUCUGGAGUGAUCUGUAAUAUCUUGGGUUUCCCUGGGGAGAAUAAGGCAGAAGAUUCCAGGAGGAAUAUCCAUCAAAGAGACAAAAACGGCAUGUAUCUGUAUCUCAUACUGCUUCAAUUGAUUCAGUACAAGCUGAAAACUCGAAGAGUUGGGUAA
This 1215-nucleotide long non-coding RNA is filed under the name Anas platyrhynchos platyrhynchos (common mallard). Its description in RNAcentral is "lncRNA (ENSAPLG00000019271.1)". Lineage: Eukaryota; Metazoa; Chordata; Aves; Anseriformes; Anatidae. The record is from RNAcentral.